UUAAGUACGGAAGUUCCUGAUUUCACGCUGUCAAGAAAAGCCUCUAGGAAGAGUAGUACUGCCCGUACCGCAAACCGACACAGGUAGAUGAGGAGAGAAUCCUAAGGUGAGCGAGAGAACUCUCGUUAAGGAACUCGGCAAAAUGACCCCGUAACUUCGGGAGAAGGGGUGCUCUAUUAGGGUGCAAGCCCGAGAGAGCCGCAGUGAAUAGGCCCAGGCGACUGUUUAGCAAAAACACAGGUCUCUGCAAAACCGUAAGGUGACGUAUAGGGGCUGACGCCUGCCCGGUGCUGGAAGGUUAAGAGGAGUGCUUAGCUUCGGCGAAGGUACGAAUUGAAGCCCCAGUAAACGGCGGCCGUAACUAUAACGGUCCUAAGGUAGCGAAAUUCCUUGUCGGGUAAGUUCCGACCCGCACGAAAGGCGCAACGAUCUGGGCACUGUCUCAACGAGAGACUCGGUGAAAUUAUAGUACCUGUGAAGAUGCAGGUUACCCGCGACAGGACGGAAAGACCCCGUGGAGCUUUACUGCAACCUGAUAUGGAAUGUUUGUACCGCUUGUACAGGAUAGGUAGGAGCCGAAGAGACGUGUGCGCUAGCAUACGAGGAGGCAAUGGUGGGAUACUACCCUGGCUGUAUGACCAUUCUAACCCGCCACGCUUAGCGCGUGGGGAGACAGUGUCAGGUGGGCAGUUUGACUGGGGCGGUCGCCUCCUAAAGAGUAACGGAGGCGCCCAAAGGUUCCCUCAGAAUGGAUGGAA
RNAcentral lists this ribosomal RNA (758 nucleotides) under Listeria monocytogenes. RNAcentral's name for it is "partial 23S ribosomal RNA". It matches the Rfam family "Bacterial large subunit ribosomal RNA", at positions 1578 to 2336 of the family's 2925-position model. The record is from RNAcentral. Lineage: Bacteria; Bacillati; Bacillota; Bacilli; Caryophanales; Listeriaceae.